This 443-nucleotide ribosomal RNA is filed under the name uncultured bacterium. RNAcentral describes it as "partial 16S ribosomal RNA". It matches the Rfam family "Bacterial small subunit ribosomal RNA", at positions 338 to 795 of the family's 1533-position model. The record is from RNAcentral.
CCUACGGGUGGCAGCAGUGGGGAAUAUUGGGCAAUGGGCGCAAGCCUGACCCAGCAGCGCCGCGUGAAGGAAGAAGGCUUUCGGGUUGUAAACUUCUUUUAUGAGGGACGAAAGAAAUGACGGUACCUCAUGAAUAAGCCACGGCUAACUACGUGCCAGCAGCCGCGGUAAUACGUAGGUGGCAAGCGUUAUCCGGAUUUACUGGGUGUAAAGGGCGUGUAGGCGGGGCUGCAAGUCAGAUGUGAAAAUUAUGGGCUCAACCCAUAAACUGCCUUUGAAACUGGCAAACUGGAGUGUGUGAGAGGAUAGUGGAAUUCCAGGUGUAGGAGUGAAAUCCGUAGAUAUCUGGAGGAACAUCAGUGGCGAAGGCGACUAUCUGGCACAUAACUGACGCUGAGGAGCGAAAGCGUGGGUAGCAAACAGGAUUAGAUACCCCAGUAGUC